AGAGUGACGGGGGGAUUCCAAGUGCCUACGCUCAGCGUAGGCUGUUCAGAUGCCUAAAAAGCAUCUGGAGUAAGGGCUGGGUAAGACGGGUGCCAUCUGCAGUGGUAGCGAAAGAUUUGGCUUGCUACUGCAAGGCAUAAGCCGCCGCGGUAAUACCCGCAGCUCGAGUAGUAGUCGAUUUUAUUGGGCCUAAAGCGUCCGUAUCCGGUCUGGUAAAUGCUUGGGUAAAUCGUCUGGCUUAACCAGACGAAUUCCGGGUAGACUACCAGACUUGGGACCGGUUGAGGAAGAGGGUACUUCAGGGGUAGGAGUGAAAUCCUGUAAUCCUUGAAGGACCACCAGUGGCGAAGGCGUUCUUCUAGGACGGGUCCGACGGUGAGGGACGAAAGCCAGGGGAGCAAACCGGAUUAGAUACCCGGGUAGUCCUGGCCGUAAACGAUGUGGGCUUGGCAUUGGGGGUUCUACGUGAGCGCCCAGUGUCGUAG
RNAcentral lists this ribosomal RNA (485 nucleotides) under uncultured bacterium. RNAcentral's name for it is "bacterial SSU rRNA". It matches the Rfam family "Archaeal small subunit ribosomal RNA", at positions 364 to 806 of the family's 1478-position model. The record is from RNAcentral.